UACGGAGGAUCCAAGCGUUAUCCGGAAUCAUUGGGUUUAAAGGGUCCGUAGGCGGUUUAAUAAGUCAGUGGUGAAAUCUGGUCGCUCAACGAUCAAACGGCCAUUGAUACUGUUAGACUUGAAUUAUUGUGAAGUAACUAGAAUAUGUAGUGUAGCGGUGAAAUGCUUAGAUAUACAUGGAAUACCAAUUGCGAAGGCAGGUUACUAACAAUAUAUUGACGCUGAUGGACGAAAGCGUGGGGGAGCGAACAGG
This 253-nucleotide ribosomal RNA is filed under the name uncultured bacterium. RNAcentral describes it as "partial 16S ribosomal RNA". It matches the Rfam family "Bacterial small subunit ribosomal RNA", at positions 524 to 776 of the family's 1533-position model. The record is from RNAcentral.